Molecule: long non-coding RNA, 1277 nt
Filed under: Phoenix dactylifera (date palm)
Lineage: Eukaryota; Viridiplantae; Streptophyta; Magnoliopsida; Arecales; Arecaceae
Description: long non-coding RNA (PDAC_LNC005373)
Source: RNAcentral
UGCAAGUACGCAGGCUAAUGUAGAAGAGAGAGCAUCCUUGACAAGAGAGGGGUGGAGACCAUGAAUUCCCCAAGAGCCAUCAGGAUGUUGAUUCUUUAUUAUCCAAUUAAGACACUCUGGGAAGCAUGGAAACUGCGGAAAUUCUGGCAAGGGGACCAUAGCUACCCAUGCAGUGUCAUAGGAAGAAGAUGAAAGAUCAACAUUAGGUAUUUGCUCCCUGAUUCUUUUCUUUGAUACUUCUGUGAGAUACUGGGCUGAAGCCGGCAACCCCAGCCGACUUUAGCUCAACACCCUUUUUGGAAGGGGCAGAACAGGGGAUCGCAGACGCGAUCCCCUCCGAUUUCUCCAGGCACAAGGACGCCGCGGGCACUCUGCGGCUACACCGUGGUAGUUUCGCGUCCACCCCGCGGCCGCACGAGUGGCCGCUGAUUUUGCCCUACCGCCGCGAAAAUUGCGGCGGAGAGCCAUUGAAAUGGGGCAAUAAAACCCCCGUUCUUCCUCUUCAAAAAGUAUAUAUUGUCCAGUUAUAUUAUUUCAAUACUUAUAGGACACAUGCAUAUAGCAUAUGCAUAUUAACAGUCUUUAUAUAGAUACAAGAUUUUAGAUUAACAUGAUGAACAAUGAGAUAAUCAAAUCAGAACGUAGUAUGUUAUAGUAUACAUGUCUUGUCAUGAGAAGAUUGCUUAUGAAAAAUUCGAAAACAUGAAGAGAAUCCUAAGAUAUAGAUAACCAAGGGAACCACACACCUUUGCAGCUCUAAAACUCUCAUGUGAAACAUGACAUCUAUGUCAUUUUGGCUAAUAGGAAGAUCUAAACCCAUAUCAAUGGCAUAUCCAAGCAUUCCAGGAAAUAUGAUCUCAAAGCCAAUAGGAGAAUGCAACUUCUCAUCCAUAGCAGAGGAAAAAUAAGAUCCAACAAAGUGGAGCCCUUCAUUUUGAGGCAUAAUAUUCUGUUUUAAUGCGCAUGCAGUAAAAAAAAAUUGCAUAUGAUCUUGUGUUCUUUGAAGAUACCCCUUCUGACAUGUUCUUCACCAAUAUUCCAUCGCUUUAGUGCAAGUACGCAGGCUAAUGUAGAAGAGAGAGCAUCCUUGACAAGAGAGGGGUGGAGACCAUGAAUUCCCCAAGAGCCAUCAGGAUGUUGAUCCUUUAUUAUCCAAUUAAGACACUCUGGGAAGCAUGGAAACUGCAGAAAUUCUGGCCAGGGGACCAUAGCUACCCAUGCAGUGUCGUAGGAAGAACAUGAAAGAUCAACAUUAGGUAUCUGCUCCCUGAUUCUUU